AGUGAACGCUGGCGGCGUGCCUAACACAUGCAAGUCGAACGUGAAAGCGAGCAAUCCCUAGUCAAGUGGCGUACGGGUGAGGAACACGUAAGUAAUCUACCCCAGAAUCUGGAAUAACCGGCCGAAACGCUGGCUAACACUGGCUAGUACGGCGUAAUCCGUAAUUGGGUUUUCCGGGGAAGGUCGCCUGUUGCAAGGCCUUCUUACUGGGAUUAGCCUGCGUGCCAUCAGCUGGUUUGUGAGGGCAAAGCUUACCAAGCGAAUGACGGGUAGCUGGUCUGAGAGGGCGUGCUGACACACAGGGACAGGAAAACGGGUCAGACUCCCACGGGGGGGAGAAGUGGGGGAACUUGCGCAAAGGGGGAAAGUCUCAAGCAGCAACGCCGCGGGAGGGAAGAAGGGCCUUCGGGUGUUAAACUCUGUUUAGUGGGAAAGAAAAGCUGGGGGUUAACAGCUCCAGGAACUGACGGUACCAAAAAAGGAAGCACCGGCUAACUUCGUG
Molecule: ribosomal RNA, 502 nt
Filed under: uncultured bacterium
Lineage: Bacteria
Description: partial 16S ribosomal RNA
Rfam family: Bacterial small subunit ribosomal RNA
Source: RNAcentral